This 497-nucleotide ribosomal RNA is filed under the name uncultured bacterium. RNAcentral describes it as "partial 16S ribosomal RNA". It matches the Rfam family "Bacterial small subunit ribosomal RNA", at positions 28 to 507 of the family's 1533-position model. The record is from RNAcentral.
GAUGAACGCUGGCGGCGUGCCUAAUACAUGCAAGUCGAGCGAACGGACGAGAAGCUUGCUUCUCUGAUGUUAGCGGCGGACGGGUGAGUAACACGUGUAUAACCUACCUAUAAGACUGGGAUAACUUCGGGAAACCGGAGCUAAUACCGGAUAAUAUUUUGAACCGCAUGGUUCAAAAGUGAAAGACGGUCUUUCUGUCACUUAUAGAUGGAUCCGCGCUGCAUUAGCUAGUUGGUAAGGUAACGGCUUACCAAGGCAACGAUGCAUAGCCGACCUGAGAGGGUGAUCGGCCACACUGGAACUGAGACAGGGUCCAGACUCCUACGGGAGGCAGCAGUAGGGAAUCUUCCGCAAUGGGCGAGAGCCUGACGGAGCGACGCCGCGUGAGUGAUGAAGGUCUUCGGAUCGUAAAACUCUGUUAUUAGGGAAGAACAUAUGUGUAAGUAACUGUGCACAUCUUGACGGUACCUAGUCAGAAAGCCACGGCUAACUACGUG